AGUCAAGAUGUCUUGUUUGCAGAGCUCUGCAUGUGCAUCUUUGGUGGACUUGUGUAUACCGAUCACAUUAAACCAAUCUGUGCAACAAACCUCAGAGAUUCUUCAAAAGGAGGUCGUUACAAGGGUGUUUGGCACAUUAUUGAUUUAUCAGAUUGUUUUAAAGAGCCUUCAUGCUUUACUUCAAAUCCUGAAGAUCAUUUAUUUCAGUUAAAGUUUCCAUGGAUGCCACCAGUAUUUUAUUUGGACUUCUCUGUAUUUCAUGUAUCAACUCAAAUGAAAUCUGCCUGGGGAGGAAGGAGUUGAAGUGUGAAAUAAAAGAUGUCACCACUGUCACCUGGUAUAGAUUACGACCUAAGGAGAGUCCCUUAACAAUAGUGACGCACAAUAUUAAAUCUAUUCUACCACCAAAAUACUUCAAUGGAUUCACCAGGGACAAAAUGAAUGUCUCCCAUGAUGAGUAUUUCUUUUUAAUUAUUGAACCCGUAACUGAAGAUGACUGUGGAACAUAUUAUUGUACAAAAACAGUGGAUCAGACAUUUGUGUUUGGAGUUGCACAACCUGUGACCUGCAAUGGCAUCAAGCAAAUACACCAUUUAAAGUGCAUCUUCAGAUUCUGAGAACCCUCCUCAAAUCCUUCUUCCCCAACCUGGCAGCUCUAAAAUCCACUGUGCUCUGCUAUUUCCAAGUUAGGAUAUGGAUUAUCUGUAAUGUAUAUGUUAUGCCCAUUUUUGAAAAAUUACUUUGUGUCACCAUGUUCAUAUGACUGUCAGUCAGUUUCUGCAUAUGGUAUAUUUAGUUCAGACAGAUAGUGAGGAGCCUUGAUGAGCUAGCUAAUCAAUUGGGAUAGAAACAAAAACCCAGCUCAAUCAAUUGAUAUACUCUAGCUCACACUUCUCUCUCAACAAGGUUAGGGUUAAUGUUUCUUACCGAAGCAGCAACAUCAUGUCUCUGGUGACUCUUCCUAUGAAGUCAGUAGAUGGAGGAUCAUGAGGUUGCUCAGUGUGUGAAAGGGGUGUGUGGCACUCCUGACAUCUCUGCAAAAACACGAAGGUCCAAGUCUUUAAGGUCCUGUGCUUCAAGUUUUGAUAAUACGGUUGUGAGACAUGGACGCUAUCCAGUGACCUGAGGCGAAGACUGGACUCCUUUAGUACUGUGUCUCUUCAUAGAAUCCUUGGGUACCGCUGGUUUGACUUUGUGUUGCUCACGGAGUCCUGAAUGAGGCACAUUACCUGCAUUGUGAGGGAGCAUCAGUUAAGGCACUACAGCCAUGUAGCGUGAUUCCUGGCUCACAGGACUCUCAUUAUUGAGGACUCAAGCAGCUGGACCAGGCCAAGGGGACAUCCACAUAACACCUGGCUGUGGCAGGUAGAUAGUCAUUCCUGGAGAGUGCGACUGGACUGCAUGUCUGCCUGGGGGGUUGCCUAGAAGGAUCCCAAGCUGUUUCAUUGUGUGGGGGGUGUGGCAACAUGCUGUACCAGUGCAUGCCCCCCAACCUGACCUGACUUGACCUGGCUCACACUUACUGUUCCCUUAUUGUCAAGUAGAGGCUGCCUACAUGCCAGUCAGCCCCCAUUUCAGCUCAGUAUCUCCAAGAGACCAAAAUUGCAAGUAAGUGUCAUUGUCAAGAGGGUCUUUGGUGAGCACUAAAGAUAGUAGGUAGGACUGUUUUCUGCAGUGACUUUCCUCUGGUUUUCCUAAUAGCUAGAAGUUAGUGGUACUGAUUCCUUUGGCUCUGCUAUUGUGUAGAGCCUUUAACAUUAGAAGGCCAGCUAAUCAUGAUGGAGAAAGACACACACAUUCUCUAGUAUCUGAAAAUGCCCUAUCUAGAAGCUAUCCAGAAAUAGGUAGGUCCUUUAAUCUCUUCAGGUCCAUAAAUAAAUGCCUGAUCAACAUUUUUCAAGGGUUUGCCUUAGGGUGUGAUAGAUAGAUAGAUAGAUAGAUAGAUAGAUAGAUAGAUAGAUAGAUAGAUAGAUAGAUAGAUAGAUAGAUAGAUAGAUAGAUAGAUAGAUAGAUAGAUAGAUAGAUAGAUAGUACUUAAAAAACAUUUUAAAAAACAUU
Erpetoichthys calabaricus (reedfish) is the source of this 2058-nucleotide long non-coding RNA. RefSeq lists it as uncharacterized. The record is from RefSeq and is a predicted model, not a curated record. The transcript is spliced from 4 exons. NCBI's taxonomy places the organism in Eukaryota, Metazoa, Chordata, Cladistia, Polypteriformes, Polypteridae.